Molecule: long non-coding RNA, 891 nt
Organism: Gambusia affinis (western mosquitofish)
Lineage: Eukaryota; Metazoa; Chordata; Actinopteri; Cyprinodontiformes; Poeciliidae
Exons: 4
Source: RefSeq, a predicted model, not a curated record
AAGAACGUAAACUCAGUAGAACAUAGUGUGACGCACGUCGGAUUUAUGAAUGUUUGUAUUUUCAGGUUUCACAACCGUUUGAGCUGGUUGGAAUGGACCUAAUAGGGAAAGUGAAAGUCACUACAUCUGUGUGAUGACUGACUAUUACACCAAAUGGACACAGGCAUACCCGAUUACCUCAUAAACGGCAGAAGAGACAAACAAGAGCGUCUGUGAAAACCUUGGGAUUGAAACAAGUCUGCACACCAUACCAUCCACAGACAAACUGUUUGGUAAAAAGAAUGAACGGCACUAUCCAAUGAUCUCUGUGCAAACUUGUGGAGUCCAAACCAGAAACUUGGGACGAAUUUCUGGACACAGUAAUGUUUGAACAUUUUGUUUGUGGUUAGUAAAGUGUUGCAAUUCAUUUUUCUACUUGUCUAUGUCUUUUCUUUCUUAGAUUGAUCCAGAAAAAUUUAAGAUAAUUGUGAGAAUUGUUAAUAAAGUCACCAUUGGAGGCAACAAGUUGAGUAAAACAAGAAAAAAUGUUUUUUUUAUUAUCAAAAAUGUAGUAAUUGGUUCACUAGAAUGUUAAUUUAACAUUUUAUCUUCUCACCAAGCACAUUUAUGAGAAGGGAUGAAAGUAUCAAGGUGGAAAUGUGAAACAGUCCAACAUGCCAUCCAGCAAGAUGAUGUUUCAUGUAGUGCGUUUGCUCUCAAAGUGCUGUUUUCAACAAAAAUGUGUACUUGACUAGGAUUACUUAUUUUCUAUGUAAUGUGGAACAUUGUGUAAUAUAUAACCUUGUUAAUUUAUAUAACCUUAAUGUCUUCUGUGCUCUCUCUUUCCACAAACAUCUAUAUCUAUAGAUAGAUAGCUUUAUCUUUGUCAUGAUUUUUGGUUUUGGUGAUGGU